This 68-nucleotide transfer RNA is filed under the name Ophiogomphus cecilia. RNAcentral's name for it is "tRNA-Glu". The record is from RNAcentral. Lineage: Eukaryota; Metazoa; Arthropoda; Insecta; Odonata; Gomphidae.
ACUUAUAUAGUUUAAAUAAAACAUUACAUUUUCAUUGUAAAAAUAAAAAGAAAUAUUUUUUAUAAGUA